CUUUUGUCCAGGGGCUCCAUCUUCUCCUGGAAGACCAGGCAGACCUGCCAGUCCUGAAGACCCUGGAUCACCCUGACAUCAGUAAAAAGAUUCAAGAGUGGGAUUGGAAUUAUGCAAACUUUUGAUGUCAUCUGUAUUCACAGAUGUGAGCCCUUUAUAGAAGAUAGAGCUGAUAGAGGCUGAGGAAUUUGCUCUGGAACAGAUGUCCCAAGGAAUAAAAAACUGAAGGCACACAGAAGAUUCAAUGCUAACUGCUGUCUUCCUUUCCAUAUUGAGUGUCCACCAGCUCAGCCCACUUAUCACAGGUAUAGACAAGGCAGCUGAGGAGAUUGUGGGGAAGGAAUGCAGCUUUGGCUCCAGGAGGUGUGGUAAGGAAAAGACUUUAACAUGGCAUAAAGGGGAGGAGGCUGUCUACAGUAUUUUCCUAUUUUAUAUAGAGAUAAUACAGCCAAAAACUCACUCUGAGCAUUUUGGUGUUUGCCUCACCAAGAGAUAUUUUCCAUCCUACAGCCUAAGUCUUUUGACUGAUUGCAUUUGUGAUCUCUCAAGCAUUUCAUCCUAGCUGUUGGAGGAAUGAGACCUAGCCAUUUUUAGUAUGAGUCCCACUUGAAAAGGGCAGAAUGGCCCUGAAGGGCCAGGGAAUUGGAACAAAAAUGAGGACCUAUGCUCCUUAGAGACAGAGAAAGUGCCAAAGAAAUCUCUUUGCAGUAAGGCAAGUACCAAGAUCUUUGGUAGAGAUGCAGCUGAGGCAGAGCAUACUUUCCCUUACUUUGUGACUGUGUCUCCAGGAUGGGGAACAGGGACUUCCAGGGUGGACCAGACAGUGCUGACCACAGGACAACUGGAGAGGACAGCUGCAAUCUGUUUAAUCUUUCUCCAUUUUCUUCUGCCUUCCAGGAUGCAGUAAUAUAAUUCCAGGUUGAAAGAGAGAAGCUGUAAUAUGUCACUAACCAGAAGACCUUGAGGAAACUUUUGGCCACAGUACCAGCUGCAUUGUGCAAUUCUGACUCUGUGAUUUCUGUUCUGGACCAAUUCACAUCUCCUCAGCUUAAUGUUUCUCACAUUCAUGUGGUCUGGAGACCCACCUUUGAUCCACUCUUCUGGAAAUCUGUGCUUUAGUUACGAAUAUGCAUUAGAUGUUUGGGAAUUAUAUCAACUAAGGCUCUCUUUUUCUUAGUUUGAGAUUAGGUGGGUUUAUUUUUUUCUUUUUAAUUUUUUUUUCUUGAAAUCCUUGGAAGAAAAAACUUCCCUGGCAAAUAAUUUCCAUUGUUUUAGACACUGUGAAAUGUGGUGUGGCUUAUAUGAGAAACUUGGUGACCUUGGGCUAUUGUCUCUUUGGUUUUUUUCAUGUGUUGUAGAGUUGAAAUUAAUACUGCUUCUUUAUACAAGAUGCAUGUUCCCUAGAACAUGACAUUUUAAGGAAACUUCUGCUCACAAUGCAUGUAUUUGGGGAAAAAAAAGUGGUGACAUCCAAAUACACAUUACUGCUCUGGGUCCCCAUGAAAACAGCUGAAUCUGCUCUUCCCGAAGUCUGAUGGCUUUGAUGCAAACUGAACUGGGCCUUAGGUGAAGGAAAUAUUUCAAAAAUAGUAUCUCUAAAGAGAGUGUCUCCUGCCAUUAAUAGCCUGUUAAGAAAGGAAGCCUCUAACACAUGUGCGCGCACACACACACACAUGCACGCACACACAUACACACACACACAUACACAUUGUUGCUUGCUGUAAAACUAAGGUUCAUUUAAGGAAAUGGGAUGCUUUAGAUUGUAGAAUAGCAAAGAUGGAUGAAAUCUGAAGAGUUAAUUACUGCUGUUGGGUACUUAUAUUAUUAGCCAUGCAGAGAGACAGUUUUUAGUUUAGAUUUGUAUGACUUGUCAAUACCAGUGUUGUCCCCAAAAAAUGAGCCCAGCUUUAGUAUGUUUAAAAUGUAGCCUUGCUUUAGUAUGAUUGCACAAAAAUAACAAAAAAAGCUUGUCAUGAUAAAGGCAUAGGAUUUAAUGAUUAAACUUUAAAUGUGAAAUUGGAAACACAGCUUGUAACUUAAAAUGUUUUCUAUGUGGAAGCACCUGGGUUUAUCCAAGGACAGAUUGACCACAAGAUUACUGAAUGCCAAUGGCAAUUACAGCUUUAUUGGAUAAUGCACUGGGCAGAUCCUUAGCCUCUGUAAACUGUCCUAGCUUCAAGAAGUUCAGGAGAGACAAAUUUACAGAUCUGACCCACAUUUUCCUAUAGUGAAUGUAUGUACAACUUUUUAUUUUCCUUAACCAUUGGCUUUCUAUCUUUAUCUAGUCAUACAUCAACCCUGAUGUUUCUAUCUGUCUGUGAAGAAGCGCAUGAGUUCAGAUACUAAUUUAGACUGAACCUUGGUCAAAAAUAAAGCCUUUUAAUUUUUAACUUCCUUGCUUAGCAGGUUAUCUUUAAUAAGUAAGCAGCAUAGUUGUUCUAAAUUACACCUUUAACUGCUUUUCUGAGUGCUUGCUUACACUAAAAACUAGGCAAGCUAAGACAUCCCAAACUCUAUUUUGAAUCAAAAAUAGUUCAAUGAACAACAGCAUUGUCUAUGUUUUCUCCCUCUAACCUUCUAAUGGAUGUAGUCUGCAUCUUCUUAAACAUGCAUAAUCAACUAAAAAAUCCCUAGGUCUAGUUCAGUCAGAAAUAAUGAGCUGCCAAUAGGAACAGUCAACAGAAAGAUGAGAGAAAGAGUUGAGUUGAACCCACAUGGGCAAUUUUGGGUGUAGUUAUGGGAAAGCCUUGAGGAGUUUUCAUUCUGAUUUUGAAGUCUCUAGUCUUGCAGAAGACUCAUUUAAUGGUGUCCAGCAGGACAGGGUCCCAUUAGUUGCAUGAUAAGAUGCCAUGGUAAAGUGAGAGGAGAAAAUUUUAGAUGAAGUAAACAGAGGAUAGCAUUGUCCUGUGCUGGCCUCUUUUGUUACUAUUAUUCAGCAGUAACAUAUCU
Non-coding RNA from Cyanistes caeruleus (blue tit), 2949 nucleotides. The record is from RefSeq and is a predicted model, not a curated record. NCBI's taxonomy places the organism in Eukaryota, Metazoa, Chordata, Aves, Passeriformes, Paridae.